RNAcentral lists this small nucleolar RNA (149 nucleotides) under Chlamydomonas reinhardtii. RNAcentral's name for it is "CrACA39b snoRNA". Lineage: Eukaryota; Viridiplantae; Chlorophyta; Chlorophyceae; Chlamydomonadales; Chlamydomonadaceae. The record is from RNAcentral.
GUGCCUCAAGCACCCGGGCUGGUCUAGUCGAUUGCCAAUCCCGGGAUAUCCGCAUAGCGGAGGGCACCAUACCGAACAACCAUUCAGUAGAUUAUCCCACGGCUGCUCUUAUUUAACCGGCCUUCGGACAUGAGCCUGGACGGAUAUCA